This is a long non-coding RNA of Bombus pyrosoma, 890 nucleotides long. RefSeq lists it as uncharacterized. The transcript is spliced from 3 exons. NCBI's taxonomy places the organism in Eukaryota, Metazoa, Arthropoda, Insecta, Hymenoptera, Apidae. The record is from RefSeq and is a predicted model, not a curated record.
UACUGUCUUGUAUUUUCUGAGAUGUCAACGCGUCUCGAUACUAAAACUCUAGUUUCUCGAAUGGCACCGUAUAUUUUUUACGACGUUGGUACAUGCAGCUGGCCAUUCUCCACGAAGAAAUACUAACCUACUCGUAAAAGCCCUAAAAGCCAUUAAUUUGAUGCUUUAACUUCAAUUUGUCGAAAUUGACGCUUUACUGACCGCUAGCGAUACAACGGCAUACGCACGUCCGACCGGCAACUCGGGCGCGGAUUCUCCCUGGCGCCGGCUUUGUUUCCGUUUGGACUCUCCAAUAUCGUCAUUUUCGUUCAUCGCGGUUCAUCGGCAAGUUACCGGGAAGAUUUUUACGGCGACCGCGUACCAAAUAAAUAUUUCCUUUGAAACGCGCAUUCCCUUGCCAAUCGAGGGGAGCAGGGCAGAAUUCUGAAAACGUGAAACCGCAUUCUUUCUAUUUGGAUGCAAAUUCUCUGGGGACAGAAACGAAUUUCGUCUAUCAAUGGGACCUCGUACAGUCUUAAAUUUUGAAAUAAUCGGACAGAUUGUCAAAAUCUUCUACUUUAUGCCAGAGAAUAAAACAUAUAUCAGAAUGCGCUGACUCUGUAUCCCGGAAGAAGUCUGGAACAACGUAUAUAACGGGUCAUAAUAUAAUCAAUUAAGUAUAUCCUUAUAAGUUAUCUCGCUACUAAAAUAUUCCUGAAUCACCGUAUACAUAGUACAUUCUCUUUUAUCUUUGUAUUAUUAUCGUACAUAAUGUAAUUCAAUUAAAAUAGUGUAUUUAUUACAUGGUAAAAUGGUAAUAUGUAUCUAUAUGAAAUCUCCAGGUACGCAGGAAAAUACAAGAAAACACAUGCAAACCAGCUGGCUGCUGAAGCGAGCAAAAUUCUCAUAGA